Molecule: ribosomal RNA, 433 nt
Filed under: uncultured bacterium
Lineage: Bacteria
Description: partial 16S ribosomal RNA
Rfam family: Bacterial small subunit ribosomal RNA
Source: RNAcentral
AACGAACGCUGGCGGCAUGCCUAACACAUGCAAGUCGAACGAGACCUUCGGGUCUAGUGGCGCACGGGUGCGUAACGCGUGGGAACCUGCCCUUAGGUUCGGAAUAACUCCCCGAAAGGGGUGCUAAUACCGGAUAAUGUCUUCGGACCAAAGAUUUAUCGCCUUUGGAUGGGCCCGCGUUGGAUUAGCUAGUUGGUAGAGUAAAAGCCUACCAAGGCGACGAUCCAUAGCUGGUCUGAGAGGAUGAUCAGCCACACUGGGACUGAGACACGGCCCAGACUCCUACGGGAGGCAGCAGUGGGGAAUAUUGGGCGAGGGGCGCAAGCCUGAUACAGCAAUGCCGCGUGAGUGAUGAAGGCCUUAGGGUUGUAAAGCUCUUUUACCCGGGAUGAUAAUGACAGUACCGGGAGAAUAAGCUCCGGCUAACUCCGUG